CAAUAGCGUAUAUUUAAGUUGUUGCAGUUAAAAAGCUCGUAGUCGGAUUUUGGCUGAGAACGAACGGUCCGCCGUUAGGUGUGCACUGUUUGGUCUCAGCUUCCUGGUGAGGAGGUGUGCUUCACGGCCACUUAGUCACCGGGGUUACUUUGAAAAAAUUAGAGUGUUCAAAGCGGGCUUACGCUUGAAUAUAUUAGCAUGGAAUAACACCAUAGGACUCCUGUCCUAUUUCGUUGGUCUCGGGACGGGAGUAAUGAUUAAGAGGAACAGUUGGGGGCAUUCGUAUUUCAUUGUCAGAGGUGAAAUUCUUGGAUUUAUGAAAGACGAACUUCUGCGAAAGCAUUUGCCAAGGAUGUUUUCAUUGA
This 365-nucleotide ribosomal RNA is filed under the name uncultured eukaryote. RNAcentral's name for it is "partial 18S ribosomal RNA". It matches the Rfam family "Eukaryotic small subunit ribosomal RNA", at positions 592 to 976 of the family's 1831-position model. The record is from RNAcentral.